GAGGAUCCAAUGCUGAUUCUAGAAAAGUUACCCCAAUUGAAAGAGGUUGUAUUAAGUGUGAAUGCUUUCAGUGGGAGGAGAAUGGUUUGCUCGGCCGGUGGGUUUCCUCAAUUGCAGAAGCUUGUGUUUGAUGGAUUAGAAGAGUGGGAAGAGUGGAUAGUAGAAGAAGGCUCCAUGCCCCUUCUUCAUACUUUGGAGAUUGCUCACUGUAAGAAGUUAAAAGAGUGGAUAGUAGAAGAAGGCUCCAUGCCCCUUCUUCAUUCUUUAAAGAUUAGGGAUUGUUGUUUGGAAGAGGAUCCGAUGCCGAUUCUAGAAAAGUUACCCCAAUUGAAAGAGGUUGAAUUAAGUGUGAAUGCUUUCAGUGGGAGGAGAAUGGUUUGCUCGGCCGGUGGGUUUCCUCAAUUGCAGAAGCUUGUGUUUGCUGGAUU
Molecule: long non-coding RNA, 428 nt
Filed under: Eutrema salsugineum
Lineage: Eukaryota; Viridiplantae; Streptophyta; Magnoliopsida; Brassicales; Brassicaceae
Description: long non-coding RNA (ESAL_LNC000213)
Source: RNAcentral